UUUACCAGCUGCUGAAAGGAACUAGAAGGCUGAACCUUUUAUUUCCUUGAUCAAAAGGCCUUGGUUCAAAUCAACACUGAGAACAGAGAUGACAGAUGAAGGCAAGAACGCCUAACCGCAGAGGUUUCCUCCAGCAACAUUUUACCAACACAUUCUAAUCCUCAGCAAAGCCAGCAGAAUGAAGGUUUCUGAUCAGAAAAGCAACUAUAAAAUACUGCCUUAUUCACGUGGCCUGUUUAUUCCUGGAGUGUUUUUCAGAGGGAACUGGAUGUAACCUUUUAUAGGACCAGAAGGCAGGACUAUAAUUUCUAAAUUGUCAAUAAAUCCAUCUAGG
Molecule: long non-coding RNA, 334 nt
Filed under: Homo sapiens (human)
Lineage: Eukaryota; Metazoa; Chordata; Mammalia; Primates; Hominidae
Description: HSALNT0074729
Source: RNAcentral